Molecule: long non-coding RNA, 2979 nt
Filed under: Homo sapiens (human)
Lineage: Eukaryota; Metazoa; Chordata; Mammalia; Primates; Hominidae
Description: HSALNT0346363
Source: RNAcentral
AUUACAAGAGCACCUCCUCCCCCAACCCCAGGAGGCCCCGCUCCCCAGGCCUCGGCCGGCGCGGACCCCUGGUUGCCCCGGGGUCGAGAGCAGCCGGGGAGAGCUGAGUUCAGAGCCCAGAGUUGGACAUCAGGCCACACGCUGAGAGGGUAGUAAAUGAAAGGGAGUCCGGUUUAGUCGCGGGCAGGGCAUCUCCUCUUCUGCUUGUCUAAAAGUCGCUGGGUGCAGGGGAAGCAAUACUAAGCGGGAAUUUCUUUUUAGUGGCAUCUACACAAUUUGCCUUUCCUGGUUUUUGUUUUGUUUUGUUUUGUUUCCUAAGGAGGGGGAGGCUCUGUAGAGGAAGCUUCGGCCCUGGGUGCCCCUGGGUUGGGAGCAGUCGGGGAGCGCUGAGCCAGGGCGCACGCCCUGUCGGCGCUGCGGGUGUGGGGCGCAGGAGUCCUUCUGGCCGGCCCCUCCGCCCCCCGGGGAGGCUGGAGCUCUCCAAGGCCGGGGAGCCUCCCGAAGCGCGCUGCCCCCUCUGUUCUCCGCGUGCUUUCACUAGGGCCCCAUGCUGCUUAGUGGCCGAUUUGCAGGGAAUCUGGGCACAAUCUUAAUAACACCAGGGCCAAAAAUAACAACGUUCCUGGGAACCGAGCUGGAGCGCACCCCAUGGACGCUGGGCCAUCUCCCCGGGGACUAGUGCCUGACAGAGCUGACAGAGUUCUAGGCCACAUGUGGGCUAGAAGGAACCGCCAUGUCUACCACAGCACAGUCCUUAAGCAGGAGCCUUUUGAAGCACUUGGACUCAAAACAAUGGCUGUUUGUUGUUGUUGUUGUUGUUGUUUGUUUGUUUUGAGGGAGCCAGAAAGCUAAAAAAUGUAAAAGAAGCAGGUCACAUUAGACAUGAUUUCAGACAGCCUCCCCGAAGGACAGAUGAUCUCACUUGGCAACACAUACUGGGCCAGGCUCACUCAUGAGGGGGCAGCGUGGCAUGCACCCCACUCAGGGGCAAGAAUGAAGCUUAAAUAUUAGCUGACUCAGAACAUAGCAAGUGCUCAGUAAUGGCUUCUGGAACGAACCCGUGGUUGUCACCAGCAGGAGUGACGAAAGCUAGAAGCCGUUUCACCAUCCAAGGAAGAGGAGGAACAAUAUUUUUCUCUUUGGAGUUCCCACACUCAGAAGAGAGAACACCAGCAUAUGAACACAGAGUGUCACAUGAUGUAGGAAACAUCCUGUAGGUAGAGAGUAUAAUUCCAAAGCUUAGGAUCCUGCUAGUUCCUUGUGCAGUGCUUCCGGUGGGCAACAUGGUGCCUCCCCAGUCCCUCAGGCUUGAGGCGGGCCAGCACAGCUUCUCUGGGAGCCAGGUCAUUUCAGAAUUUAACCCCAGAACUAGGUCACCCCAGGCAACACAAGGCUCCUCUCCCUUGGAUACAGGAAGCGGAGGAAAAGGCCAGGCAUGCUCAGGGGCAAACCAACACCCAGGUGAAAGGGAGCUGGGCUGGUUUCGGGGAGCAGCCUGGUUUCAGGGAGCCGGACUCACGAUGUGCUUGAGACCCUCAAAUUCACCCCUGGAAGCAGCUGCCCCCGUGACAAGGAACUAAGGACAGGCAUGUCAUGGACUGUGAAUUGGAGUGACAUUUGUCCCUCCCUUCACCAACAGACUGCCCCAAGAGCUUCCCAAGUUAUCUGCCAUAGAAUACCUUGUUUCCCUCGAGUCUCUGAAAGGGGGCCGCAAAAGCUGUCCCCACGCUGGAAAUGCAGGGCCAGGCUUUUAAAGUUUUGCUCCCGGAUUAUGAGAACACCUAGAAAAUUCAGUGCUCCUCUCCACUCCCCCAAACCCCUUCACAAGCCCCCACCCUUUGUUUAACAAACAUAUAUAUAGUGCUUUCCUGGUACCAGAUACUACUUUAAGCACUUGACAAAAUAUUUAGUCAUACAUAAAACCCUUAUAAUUACACUGUAAUUCACUCUCGUCAGAUCCAGUCAUUGUGAAGAAACGGAGGCACGGGGAGAUUAAGAGAGCUACUUAAGAAGACACGGUGCCAGGUUUCUACCCAAGCCAUUUGGAUCUAGGGUCUGGAGGCCAUGUGAGCCAUUUUGCAUUAGAUUAACGCUUUAAUUCAGUUCACAGUUAGACAAUAUACGUUCCCCAUCUAUAUCUAUACCCAUCUGGAAGGCAACAAAAAGAUAAUAAACUGAUAGUGUCAUGUGCCCAUGACCCAGCUAACAAAGAGGCUCUGGGUUCCAAUGCCCCAGUCUUUCAUGGGAUUCCAUCGACCUCAUGCCCUGCUCCCCUCCCCAACAGAGAUGGAAACAUUAUCCUGAAUUUUGUGUUUAUCAUCCCUUGUUUCUCUCUAUAGUUUUUCCACUUAUGGUUGUAUGAUUUUUGUUUGUUUGUUUUUUGAGACGGCAUCUCGCUCUGUCACCAGGCUGGAGUGCAGUGGCGUGAUCUCGGCUCUACCUCCCAGGUUCAAGCCAUCCUCCUGCCUCAUCCUCCCGAGUAGCUGGGACUACAGGCACACGCCACCAUGCCCAGCUAAUUUUUGUAUUUUUAGUAGAGACGGGGUUUCACCUUAUGGUUGUAUCUUUAAACAAUGUCUUGUUUAGUUUUGCCAUGUUUUUGGACUGUGAAUAAGUAGAAUUAUUAUGCUGUGUGAAUUCUUCUGCUACUUGCAUUUUUGCUGCAACGUCAUGUUCCUGAAAUUCAGCCAGGAUUCAUUUAUUCCUUUUCACUGCUGUGUGAUAUCCCAUUGUAGGCAAAUAGUACACAAUAUUUAUUUAUUUUCCAGAUGGGAUCUCAUUCUGUCACCCAGGCUUGUAGUGCAGUGACCCCAUCACGAUUCACUGCAGCCUUGAACUCCUGGGCUCAAGCAAUCCUCCUGCCUCAGCCUCCUGAGUUGCUAAGGCCACAAAUAUUUAUCCAUUUUACUGCUAAUGCAAUUUGAGCUGUUUUCAACUUUUUCCUAUUAAAACAUUAUUGCUAUGAACAUUCUUAUAAAA